This 445-nucleotide ribosomal RNA is filed under the name uncultured bacterium. RNAcentral's name for it is "bacterial SSU rRNA". It matches the Rfam family "Bacterial small subunit ribosomal RNA", at positions 354 to 796 of the family's 1533-position model. The record is from RNAcentral.
GUAGGGAAUAUUGGGCAAUGGAGGCAACUCUGACCCAGCCAUGCCGCGUGCAGGAAGACGGUCCUCUGGAUUGUAAACUGCUUUUGAAUGGGAAGAAACGCACUUUUGCGAAAGUGUUUGACGGUACUAUUAGAAUAAGCACCGGCUAACUCCGUGCCAGCAGCCGCGGUAAUACGGAGGGUGCAAGCGUUAUCCGGAUUUAUUGGGUUUAAAGGGUGCGUAGGCGGCGUAAUAAGUCUGGGGUUAAAGGCGGCAGCUUAACUGUACGCAUGCCCUGGAAACUGUUGAGCUUGAGUGACCUGGAGGUAGCUGGAAUUCCCUGUGUAGCGGUGAAAUGCAUAGAUACGGGGAGGAAUACCGAUUGCGAAGGCAUGUUACUACGAGUAAACUGACGCUGAUGCACGAAAGCGUGGGGAUCAAACAGGAUUAGAAACCCCAGUAGUCC